AUUGCUUCUCAGCCUUUUGGCUAAGAUCAAAUGUUGUUUCUGUUCUUAUCAGCUUAGUAUCUGAUAUGUCCUCUACCCAAGGACAAUACAUUAAAUGGAUUUUUGGAAAUAGGAGAUGGAAUAGCCUGCUCUGUAUACUCCAUGCAUCAAACAGAUUACAGUAUCUCCAGGAAUGAUGCACCAAAA
This is a small nuclear RNA of Ictidomys tridecemlineatus (thirteen-lined ground squirrel), 186 nucleotides long. Its record names the gene U2. It matches the Rfam family "U2 spliceosomal RNA". Rfam says of the family: U2 is a small nuclear RNA (snRNA) component of the spliceosome (involved in pre-mRNA splicing). Lineage: Eukaryota; Metazoa; Chordata; Mammalia; Rodentia; Sciuridae. The record is from Ensembl.